This 521-nucleotide ribosomal RNA is filed under the name uncultured Glomeraceae. Its description in RNAcentral is "SSU rRNA". It matches the Rfam family "Eukaryotic small subunit ribosomal RNA", at positions 569 to 1092 of the family's 1831-position model. The record is from RNAcentral. Lineage: Eukaryota; Fungi; Glomeromycota; Glomeromycetes; Glomerales; Glomeraceae.
AGCAGCCGCGGUAAUUCCAGCUCCAAUAGCGUAUAUUAAAGUUGUUGCAGUUAAAAAGCUCGUAGUUGAAUUUCGGGAUCAAUACGUCGGUCGUACCUCGGUACGUACUGACGUCAUUGAUUUCUCCCUUCUGACGAACCAUGAUGCCAUUAACUUGGUGUUAUGGGAAAUCAGGACUGUUACUUUGAAAAAAUUAGAGUGUUUAAAGCAGGCUCACGCUUGAAUACAUUAGCAUGGAAUAAUGAAAUAGGACGUUCGAUCCUAUUUUGUUGGUUUUUAGGAUCAACGUAAUGAUUAAUAGGGAUAGUUGGGGGCAUUAGUAUUCAAUUGUCAGAGGUGAAAUUCUUGGAUUUAUUGAAGACUAACUACUGCGAAAGCAUUUGCCAAGGAUGUUUUCAUUAAUCAAGAACGAAAGUUAGGGGAUCGAAGACGAUCAGAUACCGUCGUAGUCUUAACCAUAAACUAUGCCGACUAGGGAUCGGAUGAUGUUAAUUAUUUAAUGACUCAUUCGGCGCCUUACG